AAACGUAGCGUAAUCUUCUGCUUCAACCUUAGGUGGCUGGCCCCGAACAUGGCAAUGUAUCAUUCAUGCACGCUGAGCAAAGAACACAUCGUUUUGCUUCUAAGAGAACAGGCCGCCGCAGUUCAAAGGAACGCGUAGCGAGCGCUCUACUUUUUCACUCGGAGUGGCUCCACCGCGCGCGCGCGCGCUCAAGAUCGCGGAACAACACAGCCCUGGAGAAAGGUGACCCGUCCAGCGAGCAAAGGCCAGCCGAGGGAGAUCGUGUGUCGGCCAUCUCGCGUCGCCACGAAAACACGACAGUCGUUCGUCAUGCCUUGGAUAUAACAACAAAUCCUCCACGGCACCCGCUUUAUAUAACGCAAGAAGGCAGCUGCAAGGACACGAGGAUGUGAAAGAGCCAGUGCAGCGCGACUUCACGUAGUGCAGAGGAGCCAAUGCCAAAAAAUCAAAAUACAUUGGCAUGUUAUUUGGACAAGAAAACUAGGACAACCCAGGACGUGCAUUUCUCAGCACCCAGUCAACUGCCAAAAGUGACUCAAACACAGGCCACCAGUGGAACUCGGCUGUACCACUGCAGUGCUGCGGAAAUUGCCUUCACCAGCGGCUUUGCAACAGCUGUUUCGCAGCAUGUCGGAGACAAUGCCUACGAAAUUAUUGGCCCUGAUCAUGAGAGCCCUCAAGGGGCAAACAACAUCUCUGUUGCAGAAGUGAGCCCGAUACCACUUGGAAGUUACCAUGACAGAUGACACGGCAGCAAUAGAUACAGAGACUGCCAUGUCUACUGCAGCUGCAACAGUGUACGAGGCCAGCAGCAGCGCGUCAGCAUCAGCAGCAGUGUCAGAAGGAACCACACCAGGCCUGGUAGAGCAACAUGUGUGCUAUCACUGACUUUUUUGUAGUGGAUAGAACUCAUUUGCUCAACAUACAAAAGCUUUUCACCACGACAGUGAGCCAGUGUUAUUGUGCAGCAAGUGCAAGACUAAGUUAGGUGUUAUAACACAGUACAAGCAUCACUUUAAUAUAUGCAAAUGCAAACAUAUUACAGUUGUUGCCUCCCCAGCCAGCCCACAUAGUGACAACAAUGUUGAACACAUGGUGGGACACACCUCUCCCCCAUUACAAGAUAGUAGAGACUGUCAGUGUUGUUGCUAGAUUGACUGGUCUUUGUAGGCAACUAGAAGGACAACACAGGUGUCAUAAGAUCGUUGUUGAUGUUGUUGUUGAAGAGGUAAAAAAGAAGUUUGAUGCAGCUGAAGUGCCAACUGAUAUUGAGCAAAUCAGAAGCAACCACCUGAGAAAGCAACACUAUCGAAAUUUGGGUAUCUAUGUGCCGCCAACUCUGGUAAGAAUGGCAUAGGACAGAAGUGUGAUGAAAAUCACACAGACACUGCUGUUGCAUCACUGGCCACAGUGAGCAGCGACUUGUAGGGCAAGAGAGUCAACUGAAACUAACAUUAUGAUAUAGUGUCAUGCUCCCAUGUGACCACUUUUCAAGUUAUUUUGCAAGAUACAGCUCAACCUCCAGAAACGAGACUGCAACUUGUCUGUAAAAAAGCUUUCACAAAAAAUUAUUCAUAACACUAUUAACAUAGCAGUAUCUUUUUUUUUUUUGUGUCGGUUCGAGGUUCCCGGCUGUCCAUUAAUGCUAAAAUUGAGGAAAAAAAGAACAUGUGUCGUACUUACACCUUUUUAACAAGUACGAGGGGGACAGAACUUUUCUAGUCAUGCAUCUUCAUCAUACUAUCAAGUUUUUAAAUGCCUUUUAUAAUUAUUAUUACCACUUAUAUCUGAGUGCAUUUUUUGCAUGUAGCAGGUGUAAAAUCAGGUCAGUUGGAUCAGAUGCCUUAUCUGCAAGCGAGCCCUAUAUUCAAGAAAUUUGAAUUAAAAUAGUUACGUUAGAGACGCAGUCUUUCAGCACUUUAUUGCCUGUGGUUUAAGCAUUGCUCAAUACUUUUGUGGGUGGCGAUUUCAACCGGCACAGCACUGCGCUUUGCCACAGUCACAUUUGUCUUCAAAGCGGUGUUUACCAUUUGUGUUGAUCUGUUUGUGUAUGCAUAGAGCAAGUUUUUAAUUUAUAUUUUUCUGCAUUCUUGUGCUUGCACCAAGCUUGUAUAAGGCAGUUACAAAAUGUGGGUCACUAUAACGAACUGUUCUGUUGAGCUUACACUUGCAAAUAAUCGUGUUCAGAUGGCCGCACUUCUAUGCGGGUGCACCGCUAGCUUUGUGUAUGUUCUCAUGUUUGUAUAAAGCUUAUAUAAGCUAGUUAGAAAAUGUAUGUCACUAAGCAUUGUGAUAUUCUUUAAAGAACUGCUUGGUUGGUUUUACACUUGUGAAUAAGUAUUGAGGCGGUGGUAUUCCCAUGUAUGCCCACUGCUAGCUUUCUGUGUCCUCAGGUGUUUGUAUUAAGUUUCUACAAGGGAGUUACAGCAUGUACGUCACUAAGCGCUGUGAUAUUUUUUAAAGAACUGCUUUGUUGGUUUUACGCCUGUGAGUAAUAGUACUCGGGUGGCACUAGUCAUGUGUAGGUACACAGGGACCAUUUGUAUACAUUAUGCUCAUGUAAAGCAGUUACAAAGUGUAUGUCACUAAUUACUGUGAUAUUUGUUGAAUUGCUGUGAUGGUUUUACACAUGUGAAUAAUAGUGGUCAGGACACAGUACUUGCGGUGUAUAGUUGAAUUUAUACACUGCCAAGACAUGGGCUGUAUACGUACCAAAGAAAUGUAUGUCAUUAUAUUGUUGUGAUUAUUACUGUUUGGAUUUUAUUAAACUGUAAUAAAAUUGUUUCUUGUA
Molecule: long non-coding RNA, 2791 nt
Organism: Dermacentor andersoni
Lineage: Eukaryota; Metazoa; Arthropoda; Arachnida; Ixodida; Ixodidae
Source: RefSeq, a predicted model, not a curated record